RNAcentral lists this ribosomal RNA (625 nucleotides) under Gibbidessus chipi. RNAcentral's name for it is "partial 16S ribosomal RNA". The stretch from base 383 to 541 matches the Rfam family "Bacterial large subunit ribosomal RNA", at positions 2473 to 2632 of the family's 2925-position model. The record is from RNAcentral. Lineage: Eukaryota; Metazoa; Arthropoda; Insecta; Coleoptera; Dytiscidae.
GUCUUUUAGAGUAGAAUUUAAGGUUUAACCUGCCCACUGAUUAUUUUAAUGGCCGCAGUAUAUUGACUGUGCAAAGGUAGCAUAAUCAUUAGUUUUUUAAUUGAAAGCUGGUAUGAAUGGUUGGACGAGAUAUAGUCUGUCUUUAUUUUAUAAAUAGAAUUUAAUUUUUAAGUUAAAAAGCUUAAAUAAAAUUAAAAGACGAGAAGACCCUAUAGAUCUUUAUAUUUGUUUGUAUAUGGUUUUUAAGGAUUAUUAAUUAUUAUAUGCAUGUAUUUAUUUAAUUGGGGUAAUGUAAAGAUUUAAUUAAUUCUUUUUUUAUUGAACAUUAGUAAUUGAAUAUGAUGAUCCAUUAUUAUUGAUUAUAAGAUUAAGUUACCUUAGGGAUAACAGCGUAAUUUUUUUUGAGAGUUCUUAUUGAUAAAAAAGUUUGCGACCUCGAUGUUGGAUUAAAGUUUAUUUUAGGUGUAGAAGUUUAGAGUUUUAGUCUGUUCGACUAUUAAAACUUUACAUGAUCUGAGUUCAAACCGGUGUAAGCCAGGUUGGUUUCUAUCUUUAAUUAAAUAAAAUAUUUUAGUACGAAAGGACCGAGUAUUUAAUAUGUAGUAUUUUGUUUUUGAGAGUUGUU